UUCUAUAGCUAUUUCCAUAUUUUUUAAGUAAUGAGCCUAUCCUCUAUCUUCUUUUUUAUGUUUAUAUUUCAAUAUACCGAAACCUAUAUAGGACUAGAUAAAUAUUAAGAGGACUCUUCCGCCUAGAUAAAAAUAUAUCAUGGUCAGCAAAGUUGUUUCUUUAUUUUUAUUUGCCCUCUAGUUAAUAAUUUCAAUUUCAUUAAGAAAAACUAACUAAAUAAAUGGAAAAUGAAAAUUAAUAGAAUUCUUUUUUUUUCUUCAAAUCCAAAAAAUUUCUCUUUUUUAUACAUAGGUCGUCGAUUCAACAUUGGUUAAAAAAGGGCAGGGUGCCCCUUUUUCUAGUAAAUAGUUCAAACCAUUUUAUCGAUAUGAGUGUUCUAUAUCAGAUAAAUUUUACAUUAGCUAUUUCCCGUUUAAAUUCGGUACUAAUACUAAUAUAGUUGUAGAAAGGGUACCUCUUUUUGUUUGGACUUCAAGCAGUUUAGCUUUAACCGUGUUAAUGGUAUCACAUUCUUGGUUUAUAGAUAAUCAAAGUUGAUUUACCAAUGAGUCGUGAAAUGCUAUGGUUCUUCCAUAUGAUUUCUAAAUUUAUUCAGAAGUAAUUCAUCAAGAUCGUGCACCCUUUUCUUAUUUAUCUGAAAAAUACCAAAAAAUAUUAUAAAGUGCAGCCGAAUAGAUCCAAUCUAUUCUUGAAAUAUACAACUCGCACACACUCCCUUUCAAAAAUAAAUCAAAACACCAACCACUACAGUUAGAUUUAUUAGAUUUGUUGCUAAAAUAUCGGUAUUAAGCCCGAAACUGCCAGCAGAUGGCCAAUGAGCUAAAAAACGAAAGAAUGGGUUACAUUUUUCAUAUGUCUCCUCUUAUAGAUAGGACGAACAAAGAACAAAGUUUUUCGAUCACUUACUUCGCUCGCCCUUUUUUGAUCGAUUUUUUUAAUGCAAAUAGAUUCAAUCUAGUAAUUUCUUUUAGAUUAAGUCUUAUGUCUUGUUUGAUCGGUGAAAGACUUCCUUUGUUGAAAUGUUCUGUUCCAAAAUUCAUAAAAUAAAAGGAAAAAAUUUUCCACUUUCCUAAACUAAGGACGGGAAAUAAGAAGGUGAGCAUAUCUUCCAAAUUAAUAAUACUCAACUCAGCCCUUCUUAGAAUGGGGUAUUAUCUGUCCUGAUAAAUAGAUAAUUCCAGGAGUAAUAAAUAGGAGUAAAUUAAUUAAAGUAUUGAUAUAAUUGGAAUUGCGGAAGCAAAUACCAAUUUACUAAAAAAAGAAAAAAGUAUCUAAUCGAAAUCGAAAGAAUUUUUUUUAAGAUUAAACAAAAGGGUUCGCAAAUAAAAGCACCAGUGCCACAACUAGUCCAUAAAUUGUUAAAGCUUCCAUAAAAGCUAGACUAAGCAAUAAAGUACCUCGUAUUUUACCUUCCGCUUCUGGCUGUCUCGCAAUACCUUCUACAACUUGUCCUACAGCAGUACCUUGACCAACUCUAGGUCCAAUAGAAGCAAGCCCUACGGCCAAUCCAGCAACAAUAAUAGAAGCAACAACAAUUAGUGGAUUCAUGUUGAGCAGUUCCUCGUGUCAAAAAAAAAGAAAUGGUUAAGGAUACAAUCAACCAAUAAAUUCUUACUUCCAAGCUCUAUUGGGGAGAAGUAAAGUAGUUAAAAAGUACAAAUUGAAAUCAAAUUGAAAUGAUAAUGUGAAUUGUCCGAACUACAUGGAAGGGAAUUCCAUAUCCAUAUACCAGAUUAGAUAAUGAAUCUAACCUAGGAAUAUAUAAUAUAAUAUCCUAUAUAUACAUUUGUUUCUUCUAGUUUAUUUGCAUAUUUUCUCAUUUUUCUAUUGAAUCGGAUUCUAAAAUCAUUGCCUAAAAUGGAAACCUCAAUAAAAGAGGACUCCACUUAUAGACAUUAAGGAUAUUAUAGUAUAGAUCUAGCCUGACUCCACCCUCCUUAAUGCAUAUAUACUUCGAAAAUUCCAUAAUAUAGUCUAUUCUAUUCUCUCUCCUACAACUCUAGGCUAUAUAUUCAUACGCACUUCUAACUAUUUUUUUGCAACCAAGCAGAUUAUCUGGAACCAUGCAUGAAUUGAGCUAAGCUUCAAAAAAAUACUAUUUCCAAAAAGAGUCAAUUCAAUGAUGACCCUCCAUGGAUUCACCUAUAUUGGUUGCGGCUAAUGUUGCAAAAAUAAGAGCUCGAAUACUGCUUGUAAAUAAUCCAAGAAACAUGACCGGUAUAGGGAUUACUAAGGGGACUAAAGAAACAAGGACAACAACGACUAAUUCAUCCGCCAACAUAUUCCCGAAAAGUCGAAAGCUAAGCGAUAAUAGUUUUGUGAAAUCUUCUAGGAUGUUAAUUGGUAAAAGGAUUGGAGUUGGUUUAAUAUAUUUCUUGAAAUAGCUCAAUCCUUUUUUGCUAAGACCAACAUAAAAGUAUGCCGCUGACGUGAGUAAAGCUAAAGCAACAGUAGUAUUUAUAUCAUUCGUGGGCGCUGCUAAUUCCCCAUGGGGUAACUCUAUAAUUUUCCAAGGUAAAAGAGCACCCGACCAAAUUGAAACAAAAAUAAAAAGGAACAUAGUUCCAAUAAAGGGAACCCAGGCACCAUAUUCUUCUCCAAUCUGAGUUUUGCUCAAGUCUCGAAUAAACACAAGGACAUAUUCCAAAAAUUUCUGACUGUCAGUCAGGAUGGUUUGUGGAUUCCGAACAGCUAUGACAACUGAACCUAGCAAGAUAGUAAUUACGACCCAAGAAGUGAUGAGUACUUGGGCAUGAAUUUGGAAACAUCCUAUUUGCCAAUAGAAGUGUUGGCCUACUUCUACACCUGAUAUAUCGUAUAACCCAUUGAGUGUUUUAAUGGAACAAGGUAUAAUAUUCAUAUUGUCCUCUGAUAAAAAUUGAACUUAAAAAAAGGAAUUCUUUUGAUUCAACCAUCUCUUUCUCAACUCAGCAACUUGAAGUAUUAAUCUUAUAUUUAGGAUACCAAGAAAGCACAUCAGAUCAUAAUAUAUAUCAAUACCCUCUAAUAUAUAUCAAUAUUCCCCUUCUUUUUUCUAUGCAAAAAAAGAUAUAGUAAAGUAAGUGAUUCCAUAAAUUCACGCAGUUGCCCAAGAAUUGACUAUAUAUUAUUAAUCAAUGAUUUCUUAUCUAGAGAGAACGACCCUCACAGAUUGAAAAUACUAAUUUGGUAAGAAUCAAUCGAAUUGAAAUCAUAGUGUCAUCAUUGGCUGGAAUCGAUAUAUUCGCGAGAUCCGGGUCACUAUUUGUAUCGACUAAAGAAAUAGUAGGAAUCCCUAAAAUGGCACAUUCCCUAAGAGCUAUAUACUCUUUUUGCUGAUCAAGCACGAUCACAAAGUCUGGCAAUCUCGUCAUAUAUUUGAUCCCGCCGAGAUACCUUUGCAAGGUAGAUAAUUUUCUCUUCAAGAUUGCCACAUCUCUUUUUGGGAGAUGGUGGAAUUUUCCCAUUUUUUUCUUGUGCUCUUAAGUCUCUAAAUUGAGAAAGUCUAGUUUUCGUAAUCGACCAAUUUGUUAACAUACCACUGAACCACUUUUUAUUAACAUAAUGACAAUGAGCCCUUAUUGCAGCUGAUGCUACUAAAUCUGUUGCUCUUUUUUUGGUACCAACAAUUAAGAAACUUUUUCCCUGACUUGCUGCAUCAAAAACUAAAUCACAAGCUUCUGAUAAAAAACGAGCCGUUCUAGCCAGAUUUAUAAUAUGAGUACCUUUAUGCUUUGCCGAAAUGUAAGGGGCCAUUUUAGGAUUCCAUUUCUUAAUACCAUGACCAAAAUGAACUCCUACUUCUAUCAUCUCUUUCAAAUUAAUGUUCCAAUAUCUUCUUGUCAUUUUUUCCACACUUCCUUUUUUUAAUCCUACCAUUCCAUUACGGAAUUUAGUUCUUUUUGAAGAUUAAGAAAGAUCCGAAAUAGCUUGAAAUAAAUAAUAAUUGUUCCGGGAGAACCUUGUACUAAGAUAAGAGUUGGCCAUUGAUACAUGGUAUAAACAUAACCACCUUAAUGAAUUAACUGACUUGUUUUACUUAUUAAAAUAAAAAUCUUAAAAAUCUAAAAUUUAACAUGUUAGUGUUCUAAGUUCAAAAGUCUAGUAAAGUAAAAAAAAUAUUUUUUAUGUAUCCUUAAAUGAUAUAGGGUUAAAUGUUAAAUGGGGGUUCUUAGGUCUCAUAAAAAUUGUUUGUUACGUCAGAAUCUGAAGAAACUAAUUCUGUAUGGAGAAACAAAAAAUCACUCAUUUCUGACGCGAAUAGAUUGUUUUAUUUAGAAAUAAAGGUUCUUCUCUUGUGGGGAACGAUGUACAAAUUUUUGGAAUCCUCUACCAACAGGUAUAAUCCCCCCAGAACUAUGUUUUCUUUCAAGCCUUUCACUAAUCAAUGCAACCUCGUAGGGCAGCUUUUGCUAAAACUCGACCAGUUUCUUGAAAACUUGCUUUAGAUAUGAAACUUUGGGUAUUUAGGGAAGGCCCUGUUAUUCACAAUAAGAUUACACAAUAAUAGAUCGAUUCAUCCAAAGCUCGUCCUGCUCGUUCCGCUCGCAAUAGUCCGAUUAAUUCCCCAGGCGAAAAAACAUUAGAUAUUCCAUCUUCGAAAACCCGCACUUUUGAUGUUACUUGGCAUAUAAUAAUCUCUAUAUGUCUAUUAUGGAUCUGUACCCCUUGGGAUCGAUAAACCUUUUGGAUUUUAUUAACCAAAGAGAUACGAGUUUGGGCUAUGGUUAGCUCAGCUCCAAUCAAGAAUCCCCAAGGGACCCCAAGAAUUCUUGGUAUACGCUCAUUCCAAUCCUCAAUUCUCCUUUCAAGAUUCGGGGAUAAUGAAUCAAUUGAACGCGCUUCAAAGAUUUGUUCCACUUUUGGAAAACCUUGCGUUAUGUCACUAGAUCUCGAUUUUUCAUAUAUAAACGUAACUAACCUAUCUCCCUUGUAAAGGAUUUCUCCAUAAUGACCAUUAACAGCUGCUGCUGUAGUGGCCAAAUAAGGUUUAGCUGCUCUUAUAACAAAGGAAUUCAUAUUUACAAUGAAAAUUUGACCGGAUUUUUUAUGUGCGAUUUAAAUAGACAUACAUUUUCACAAAUAAAUUGUCCAAGGUGAAUUAUUGCCAAUGUCUCUUCCCAAGAAUCAUGAUGGACAAAGUGACAAUUCAAAAGGAAUGGAUCCAACAUUAUGUUACUAUCGAAAUUAGAAAUCCUUUUAUUUUCAUCUAUUAAAGAGUAUUUAAGUUCUUGAAGUACUUGGAAGGUUUGUUUUAAAUUUUCAACGAACAAAUAUUUUUAACAGGAUUUUAUUAUGAGUUAGUAAAUAUUAAGAUGAAGAAAAAUGCGAUAUACUAGCUAUAAUAGCGCCUAAGGGUCCAAAAGUUUCUCGAAUAGGAAUUCUAGGAUUCCAUUCUUUUAUCGCAUUGGGAUGUUUUGAAUUCUUGAAUAAACCAAUUCAAGAACAGUUGGAUGCCGACAAAAUCAUCAAAGAGUGGUAUUGUUUAUUUCGAUUCAACAAAGUGCCAAUAGCUUCUGGAUGUUGGCUAAGUGAUUCAAUCUUCGCCUUGGAAUAAAAAGAAUUGAUAUUGGUGCGAUCUAACCUAUUAUGGGGAAUUGGACCUGCACUUGUCCUACCAUACCUUUUUCGUGUAUACGAAAUAGUGGACUGACUAACUCAAUUCUUAGGAAAUCGCGAAUAAGAUCAUUUGCUCUUACCUCAACAAGGGAAGCACCAGCCUUUUCUUUUUCUUCUUGUUCCCAAUUCACUACUAAGCAAGUUCUAACAAAUUGACUAUUUGUGUGAUAAAUUCUUUGAGUUAACUUGCUAUUUUCAUGAGAAAUAAAAUUGACAAGUCGAAUUUGAAGAUUAUUUUCUUCUUGCAAGAGAUCCUGCGGGAAAAGUGUUGCUAAAUUUCUUCCUUCGUCCAUUUCAUAUGCCACUGUAGGGUGAACGGAAAUAAAAUACUUUUCCUUGCUCUUGAGAAUUUUUUUCCGUUGAACAUAGACCCAAUUUUUCCUUUUUUUGAUUCCUUAAGAGUGUUUUAUUUGUCUUUCUAGCGGUAUCGAACAGCCACCUAAUAUCUUAUCCGCCUCUUCAGGAAAAUGAAUAUCUCCGGAAAAUAGUUUGAGUUCCGUAUGGCUUUUUUUUCUCUUCACUCGGACCAGUCCGCCUAGUCGACUUCUUGUAUUUUUUGUGAGUUGUGUAUCCACUCCAAUAAUACUAUUGUCAAGUAUCUUUAGGGAUGAAGAUCUCGGCAAGAUAUGAAGUUCUUGAAGAAUGAAAAAAAACCCGAUCUACUUCUUUUUGGUAUUUUAGACUAAAUUCUUUUGUUCCUUGAUGCUCAAUCAAACCCUCUUUUUUUAAGAUGGAAUCUUCCUCUGGGCUCUCGUAUUCGUCCUCUGAAUCUUCUUCUGAGUCUUCCUCUAAAGUACCAUAUUUUUCCUCUGCGCUUUCCCCGGGGCUGCCAUGUUCGUCUUCUAGUCUUCCUCAAGAGUUCCAUAUUCGUCCCCUUGGGUCCUAUAUUUGCUCUCUGGGCUCCCAUAUUCCUCUUCUAAGUCUUUCUCUAAAGUCCUAUAUUCGUUCUCUGGGUUCUCAUAUUCGUUUUCUGGGCUCCCAUAUUCGUCUUCUAGGGUUUCAUAUUCGUAUUUGUCUUCUAGGAUUCCAUAUUUAGAUUCUUCUAGGGUUUCAUAUUCAUAUUCGUCCUCUCGGGUCCUGUAUUCGUCUUCUAGGGUCUCAUAUUCCUCUUCUGAGUCUUACGCUCGAGUCCUAUAUUCUUCUUCUAGGGUCCUAUAUCUAAAUUUAAUAAUUCAUGAACCCUUUUUAUCUUUUCUGUAUCGAGGAUCAUCAAAAUAAGCAAAAAUAGUAUUUCUACGUAAACACCCAUAAGGGGGAUUUUAAUCGAAAUCCCAACCCAUGAUAUUAGUUCUUUCUCUUGUUCUUGAUGAUAUUGUAAUGGAAUGACGAACCUAUUUCUUCGCUUUUUCGCCAACAAAUCUGAAUUAUCUUGAAAAAUAGAAGGAUAGAUAAAAUUCCAAUGGCCAUUGGACAUGAUUCGAUCCGACGUUGAAUAAUCAAGAAUUUCCCUAUCUUUUUUUACCAUAAGUAUUCAUUUUAUCUUGAUCCUUGUGGAGUGAAAAAGACGCUAUACUUGAUCUGCACAUACUUACUGACAAUAUCCAUAAAUGGCUUGUUUUUGGUAAUCGGUGAAGAUUACCAUAUUGAUAUUCGGGCACAUGGUAAACAUCAGUACUCCAGUGCAUUUCGCCGUCUGAUUCAGAAUAAAUAUGCUUUUGUACCCUUUCUUUAAAAUGUAAAGUGGACGUUCCGGCAUGAAUCUCCACAAUUACUUGUUCGGAUUUUACAUAUUGAUCAUUUUGCACUAGAAUCAAGCUUUUUGUGGGAAUAUUCACACUAUAUAGAAUAUCUUGACUCUGAAUAGUUACAUGCAAGUCUAUAUAAUAUAGAAAAGCAAGCUGCCCAUGACGGGUACAUGUGGGGUGAACCAAAUUCUCAUUGAAUUUUAUUUUUCCAUUCGAAAGGGAUCGUACAAGGUCGGCAGUACCCCCUGUGAAUACUCCGCCAGUAUGAAAAGUUCUUAAUGUUAGUUGAGUCCCUGGCUCCCCAUUUGAUUGACCUGCAAUAAUACCUACGACUUCUCCCAAUUCGACCAGAUCACUAUGAGUAGGACUCCGGCCAUAGCAUAAUUGACAGAUCCAAGAAGUGCUUCGGCAAGUAAAGGGGGUUCUAAUAUAUAUUGGUUGUGCUCGAAAUGGUUGUGCUCGAAAGGCAGUUAUGAAUCGAUUGACUAAUCCAAUUCCAAUAUCUUGAUUUCGCGUGGCAAUGCAUCAUGAACCGAUGUAUAUAUAUCGUCUGCUAAUACACGACCAAUUAGUGUUUGGACAAAAAGUUUUUCCGUCAUUCCAUUUUGAGGACUUACAGAAAUACCUCGGAUAGUACCACAAUCUCUUAUACGCACAAUAAUAUGUUGAACUACUUCACCAAGUCUACGUGUAAGAUAUCCAGCAUCUGCUGUUCGCACAGCAGUAUCUACAACCCCUUUGCGGGCUCCAUAGCAGGAAAUUAUAUAUUCUGUCAAGGAAAGUCCCUCGCGUAAAUUGCUUUGAAUAGGUAGAUCAGUCAUUUGUCCUUGAGGGUCCGACAUUAAUCCUCUCAUACCUACUAAUUGGUGUACUUGAGAUGCAUUUCCUCUGGCUCCUGAAAAAGACAUUAGAUAGACUGGAUUAGAAGGAUCCGUUAUCCGAAAAUUUGAAUUCAUUUCUUGUUUCAAAUAUUCACUUUGUCACAUACCAUAUCUCAACAGAUUGGCAUAAUUUUUCUACCGUGUGUACAACCCCAUAAUAAUAGUGUUUCUCCAAAAGAAAACUCUGUUGUUCCGCGUCUUGGACUAACCAUCCCUUAGAGGGUAUUGUUAAAAGAUCCUCGAUUCCUAACGAAAUCAAUGUAGUAGUGGCUUGAUGGAAGCCCAGAGUCUUUAGUUGAUCCAGCAUAUGGGAUGUAUAUCCCAUUCCAAAAUGAUCUAUUAAUCUGCUAAUAAGUCGUUUCAUACCAGUUCCAACUAUCUCUUUAUUAUGAAAGACCAGAUUGGCCCGUUCCACCAUACAUAAGUACCCCCUUUUCGGCUGAGUAGGAUUCGACAAUUGCUGAGUAGGAUUCGACAAUGGACCUGAGUUAGUGAUUCGAAAAUUUAAUUAACUUAAUUGCCUCAAUCUCAAUAUGGAUUCGCGUGGCAAAUAAUGAUGAUAGUAGGGAAAUCGGAGUGCCCCCCGAAAGGGGAGGGGCACUGCCGAAUCUAACUUUCUUGUUUAGGUAGUGUAUGAAUAGGCCCGACUAAAUCCUUAUAAGAAAUAUGACCAAGAGUAGUUCGAAUGUAUAUCGAACGAAUUUCUUUUUUUCUAUUUCCCAUUAUUAGAUAGUGGGCAUAAAUCUCAUGAUAAGUCCCCAAAGAUUCAUAUUGAACUUCAAUCGGAACUUCUCUUGACCCAAUGACGCAUUGACCCAGGUUCCAUCGUAGCCACAAGGGACUAUCUAAACUGAUUAGCUUUUGUCUAUAAGCUCCUAGUGCAUCAUAAGAACUAGAAAAAUGGGGUUCUUUAUCUUUCCUAUAUUUAGAAUUAUUAUUAUUAUUGUAAUUUACUUUUAGAUUUGGGUAGUUUCUGCAACUAUUAUAUCAAUUUGCACAAAUACCUCGACGCUUUCCAAUCGUUAACACAUAUAGCUCGAUAAGCAUGUCUUGGGUUGGUACGCAAAUAGGAUCCCCAAUAGCGGGAGAUAAGAGAUUCAUAUGAGAAAACAUAAGUAAAUGGGCUUUUGCCUGAGCUUCCAAGGAUAAAGGUAGAUGAACAUCCAUUUGAUCUCCAUCAAAGUCCACAUUGAAACCCUUACACACUAAUGGGUGUAAAGAAAUAGUACGCCCCUCUACUAAAGUGGGCUGAAAGGCAUGUAUGCCUAAUCUAUGCAAGGUAGGUGCUCUAUUUAACAGUACAGGAUGUCCCCGUAUAACUUCUUGAAGUAUUUCCCAUACAAUGGGUUAUUUUUCCCAAAUUUUCCUUUUAGCAAUCCUUACAUUAGAAGUGGCGCGUUUCGUGAUUAAAUCGCGAAUUUCAAAUAGCUGAAAAAACUUUAUUGCUAUCUCUAGAGGUAAUCCACAUUGAUGUAAUGAAAGCGAAGGACCCACAAAAAUGACAGAAGGCCCCGAGUAAUCGACCCGUUUCCCAAGCAGAGUCUCGCGAAACCUUCCCUCUUUACCUUCAAUUACAUCUGAAAGUGAUUUGUAUAUUUUACUGUGACCAUCCCUCGUCAGUUGCCCGCGGGACGCACUAUCAAGAAGUGUAUCCACGGCUUCUUGUACCAAUUUUUCCUGGCACAUUACUAAAUCUGCUGGCGCUAAUUCACUUCUUUUUAAUAGAUAGGCAAGAUUGUUGUUCCGACGGAUAACUCUCUUAUAAAUUUCAUUAAUGUUUGAAGUCACUACUUUAUCUCUAGACCUAUAAACAAUAGGUCUCAAUUCGGGAGGAAGAACCGGUAAUAAGCACAAAACCGUCCAUUAUGGUUCUACAUUUGUUUGAAUAAAAUGUUUCGCCAAUUGCAUGCGUCUAAUCAAAAAAACUUUUCUUAUUUGUCCUUUUAUCUUCCCAUUCAUCUCCACUAUACCCCUCGUCUUGUAAUUCCUUCCAUUCGACCAAAGAAUUCUCUAUAAUCUUUCCCUAUAAUCUCUCCCUAAUAAUAAAGCACGGAUUGGGUCUCCGGGUUCACCGUCGCAGUGUUUUUGCAUAAAGAUCCCUGUGCUUUUUAGGAAUUAACCCGCAGUCACAUCCCUAAGUAAAAUAACGGUUCCCAUGAAAAAAAGGGUCGCCGCAUCCUCUCGCACACGCACGCCUACCUGCAUCUCCCCGACGGCUUCGCCUCACCGGCGGCAGGCCACCCCGCGCCCAACUAGCCUCGCCUCGCACCGGAGGCGUCCGGAGGCAGGCCAACCCUCCGCCCGACUCGCCUCGCCUCGCACCGGAGGCGGCCGGUGGUAGGUCGGACCCCCCUCCCCUCGCUGCUGCCGCCAUCUACCACCACCAUCCUCGCCGCUCCCUCCCUCGCCCAACCUUAUCUAGACGCCUAACCGAGAGAGGAGGAGGGGGGUUGACAAGGAGAGAGCAAUCAGCCGCCGGCGGCGGCGCCUCCGAGUACAGGUAGGCGAUGGUGGCGACUUGGUAGCAGUGAGCGGCCGAUUCAUCUCGCCUUCAUCUCCUCGCUAGCUCUCUGUCCUUCACAGGUUCUAAGAUAUGGCCUCUACUCCUCGACAGCCACACCGACGCCCCGUCCAAGAAACCAGCCCUGCCGCCCUGCCGCUCCCAACCCCCCUGAGUCUCAACCUCGCCGCCUAUUCUGGUCGAUGUUGUGAUUGAUAAUAACCAGGAAGAUUUCACCGCUCAGUUCAUCCAUUUGAAUCCUUCUACCUAAAAAGCACCGACACGCCAGAAUCAGCCGAACUGCCGUCCUGAUACGGCGGGAUACGGGGAUACGCCGGGAUACGCUGGGAUACGCGAACUAAGCCGUGUCCCACGAAUUUCGAUUAAUAAUAAGGAAAAAAUUAUAGGGAUAUGGUGGGACACGUCUGGGACACGUUUGGGACACGGCCCAGCCCAAAACCAGCCUCGGUCCAACCCAAUACGAAACCCUAUAUGUCUCCCGCACCUUCUCUGUCAUGAGAACGAGGUGCUCCCUCCCAGGUCGUACUGCACGAGCCGCCGCCUCCUGGAUCGACGCCGCUGCCGGCGACGCCUGGAUUCGGCGACCGCUAGCCCCAGCACCAGCAGCCUUUACUCGAAGGUAACCCAACAGCCUCUCCUAUUCCUCAACCUCUUCCUCUUUGAUUCAUCAUAUUUCUACCAUUAAGCUGCUGGAUCCUGGAUGUUGCUUGCUAUCUUGUGCUGCUGGGUUGAAUGCUUGCGCUGCUGCUCCAUGUUGCUUCAAGUAUGUUUUGUCCUCUAAUCUUUCAAUUAUGUCUUCUCCUCUAAUCUUCUUUACUGUUUGUGUUUGAUAUGUUUUGCAAGAUGGAUGCAGCUUGCAAUGACAACAUGGCAUGGGGGGAUGAGGAUCAAUCAAGCACUUGGCAAAAAAGAUUUCUUUCUUAUUAAUUUUCUGUCUUAACUUAAUAUUACAUGCCUGUCAGGACCCCGACUCAAUGCCACAUCGAUCUAGCAUGUAACACCUCAUAUCACUUUGCGGCCUCACGCACGGUAUUCCCACGGGUGUCGCCUUACCUUAGCCCGGAACCGUUUGCGCCUUUUGGCACACGUAUAUGACGUUGUCGCUAGCAUCCAUAUGAUAAGGAGCCCGGGCUGACAUGGCUAGUCGUAAACCCAAAGUGGCACAGACUUACAGGGACAGGCAUCCAUGACCCAGCAUCGAACGUGUCGGUCAUUAGCGAGUGAAUCCAGGCUGUAGCACUGGGCUAGCAGGACUCCGGUAUUCAUCGCGUGACAUUUCCCCGAAGGGACAGACACAGGAACGAAGAAGGACACAUGCCGGCCAGCCUAAGUGUUCCGGAGCAGUAGCAAGCUACCAAGGCUCAAUGGAAACACUAGGAGACAUUUCCCGGUAAGAGAGGCUACUAAAGAUAAACAACUAGAUAGUCAGAUCCCACACAUACCAAGCAUUUCAAUAACAUACACACAAUAUGCUCGAUAUGUGCAAUACGACAUGGCAUCACAAAAUGACUCUACGACUCAAGUAUUUAUUCAAUAGGCUCCGAGGAGCGAGAUAUUACAAACAUGGGUCUCAUGACCCAACAAUCAGAGCAUACAAGUCAAAACACAAGCGGAAGCUAUCAUGUCUGAGUACAGACAUCUAUAAAUGAAAAAGGCUGAGAGGCUUGACUAUCUAUCAGAUCCUGCCGACGGCACAAGAUCGUAGCUGAGGUAUCAAGCUAAACGUCGAAGUCCACGCGGAACUACUAGCGAGACCGAAGUCUCUCUGCAAAAACAUAAAAUAGGCAAACGUGAGUACAAAUGUACCCAGCAAGACUUACAUCAGAACUAACUACAGAUGCAUCAUUAUCAACAAAGGGGAUGGUGGGGUUUAACUGCAGCAAGCCAGCUUUGACUCGGUGGCUAUCCUGAACUACGACUGCAAUGUAACUCUUUUGAGGUGGCGCACACGAGUCCACAUAUUCACCAUAUCAAUACACCACUAUGGAUCCGCUCCCGUCUCCCUACGAGAACGCCAUCCAUAGCACUCACGCUUAUCUUGCGUAUUUUAGAGUAUCCACUUUCACUUGUCUAUGAACUGAUAUAAGCAACCCAGAAGUCCUUUUCCGCGGACACGGCUAUUCGAAUAGAUGAUGUUAACCCUGCAGGGGUGUACUUCUUCAUACAUGUUUCCACCACUUAGCGUCUGCACACGACAUGUGCUCGGCAGACUUCAAGCGAAAGCCGACGUGGGUGUAGACCACGACCUACCUAAACACUCAAGUCUCUAGUCCAGGUUUAUCGCCUAUUCGGGUUCCAUCCAUGAGGAGAUCCGGCCGGAGUUUCGCUCACAGCCCCAAACGAUGUGAACAGGGUUCCCGAGAUACCAAACGGUACACCGUGCCACGUACCUACCGCAUCACAGCCCACCCCUACGGUCAGCGCUGUCCAUGGCCUCCAGUAAGCUACAAACACCAGAAACUACUUGCAACUCCUGGACAGAGGACUAGGGUGAAUAAGAAGUCGAGCGGGGUCAUAUUUCAGGGCCCAAUGUAUGGUAGUAGCUGAAUCAUGGAUCACAAACACAGAACUCAGUUCCUGAGGACGGCUGCAAUGAGACAACCCACCAUGUACUCCUACAUGGCCUCUCACCGCUACCUUUACCAAAUCGUGUUCACACACUUAGCUCACACACGGUAGGACAUGUUCACAUGCCUCUGAUUCAUCCCCGAUGAAUCAGACCUGACUCAACUCUAAGCAGUAGCAGGCAUGACAAACAAACAUGAAUGAGUAGGCACAACAGGCCUCAAACAACUCCUACUCAUGCUAGUGGGUUUCAUCUAUUUACUGUGGCAAUGACAGGUCAUGCAAAGGAUAAAGGGGUUCAGCUACCGCAGCAAGUAACAAAUAUGUCGCUGUUGUCCUAAUGCAGUAAAGGAGAGCAGGAGCGAGAGAGUGGGAUUUUAUCGGAAUGAACAAGGGGGUUUUGCUUGCCUGGCACUUCUGAAGAUAACAUUGAGUCUUCAUCAGUGUCAACGAUCACAUCAUCGGUAUCACGUCUAUCGAGAGGGGACAAAUACCGGCAACACAGAAGGGAACACAAUCAAUGCAAUGCACAAUAUGAUGCAUGAUCAUGACAUGGCAAUAUGAAUGUGUUUUGAGCUAAUGAAACUAGCAACAGAUUAAAUGAAGUUGGUUUGAAUACAAGAUUCAAAUUCAAACUCCAUAUGUGAUUAUUCAAAUGCCAUUUAAUUGAUUUGUGCUAAACAGCAGCUAUAAGUUGUUCUAACAUGCAUGAAAAUGGUACAGAUGGAUUCCUUGAAUUUUUCUGAUAAUUUUUCAUAUAUAAUUUAUUUAAUUUGGAGCUAUGGUUGAAUUUCUAUGAAUUUUAGAAGUUUUAGGCAUUUUCUGGAAUUAUAAAUCAUUUCCUAAUUUAUUUUAAUUCCAGAAAGGAAUUAUUGCGUCAGCAUGACCUCAUGCUGACCUCAGCAGGUCAACGGGCGCCGUCCAGGUCAAACUGACCUGUGGGACCCAUAUGUCAGCGUCACAGUUAGUUAACAGGGGGUUAUCUGCUUAAUUAAAGGAUUAGGGGGGGUCGGGGCCCACUGGUCAGUGUUAGUGGCUAAUUAGGUUUAGUUAAUGGCCUGGGGCCCACACGUCAGUGAGAGAGAGGGGAGGGUCAAACCGGGCAGUGGGUCAACCCACGCCGGUCAAGGGUCAACGGUCGCCGGCGUUUAGCCGCCGGCGAGUCCCGACGCGGUGGUGCGCUGCGGAAAUGGCCUACAGAGCGCCGUUUGGCGCGCGGAGCACGACUACGGGAUGCGGACGCUCGUCCGCAUCCAACCAGGGUGGUGGCGCGGCCGGGGAGUGGCCGGAGAGUGGUCGGCGACGAGCUUUAGCGGCGGCCGGGGUUCGGCGUCAGUGAGGACGGCGCUGCGGUGUGCAAACGAGACGGUUGUCGCGCUAGUUUUACUCUACGGGACGUAACGAGUGCAACGGACGCAUGCGUGGGACCAAAAGGUCACCGGGGCUUCACCGGCGACGAGCCCGUGCGGCGGAGCGUCUCGGCUCCGGUGGAGGGAGCGGCUGGAGCUCGAAAUCGGACAUGGGGUUAGGGGGAAACGAAGGCGGGGCUUACAGGGGGUCGAUUGGAGGGCCCAGCGGCUCGGGGGAGACGUCGGAGGUGGCGAGCGGGCGCCGGCGAUCUCGGGCUGCCGGAGAUGGGGAAGACGGCGUGGGCGGCGAUGCAGGGCUCCCGGCGUUGCGUAGCUCCAUGGAGAGGUCAGGGGCGUCGAGGCGGAGCCUUUGGUCACUCUGGUGGGGUGGAACGACGGUGGUGGCUACGACUGCGACGAGCGGCGGCGACGGCGGUUCUCGGUCGCGCGAGUGAGAGAGCCAGAGAAGAGAGAAGAAGGAACGGGGAGAGUGAGAACGGUCCAGGGGGGUGCGUGGCAUCCUCAGGCGACAGGGAGACAGGCAGAGAGGCAGGAGGUGGCCUGGGCGUGUGCCCGCGCGCUCCGGCCACGCGCCUGCGCCUACUGGUGCGAGGAGGAAGGCGACAGGGGGGGAAAGUGGAGAUGGGCUGGGCUGGCCAGGUGGGCCUGGUGGGCUGCAGAGGUAAGUCCAGGUAAGGUUUCUCUCCUCUGUCUUUUAUUUCUAUUUCAGUUCUGUUUUCUUUUAUUUAAUCUGUUUUGCCACUGUUUUGAAUUUAAAAAUAAUUCAAACAAUGCCAAAAACUCCUCUGAAUAUUUUAUAUUGCUAGAUGGACUUUUCCAAAAGCUUAUAAAAUAUUUCAGGGGUAUUUGAAAUUAUAUUCUAAUUAUAUGAAUAUAAUUCAAAUUCAAAUAGCUAAUGAAUUAAAUCCAAAGUCCCAAAAAUAAUUCCUUAAAAAUGUUCAAUAUUUUGGUUGGGACCAGAACCCUUACCAAAAAUUAUCAAACAUUUAAGAAGAGCAUUUUGGAGCAAUGAAUGAGAUUUAUAGGGUUUUUGCCCCUCUUUUAUUUAAGUUUUUGAGGCUUCCAAAAAUUCCUCAGUUCAAGUUUCGAAAAUAUAGACAUGAUGCACACAUGAAGCUAGCCUAGAGCACUACCAGCAGCUAGGGAUGUGACAACUCACCCCCACUAAACAAGAAUCUCGUCUCGAGAUUCAAGCGUAGGGUAAGGUGAAGGGUAAACGCAACUAGUAUAAUCUUCACGAUCCAGGGUGCACUUCAGUUGAACGUUGAUUCAUUCACCAUCAUUGUCUUGAUGUCCUGCUCUGAGAAAUCCUGUCAACAUGGCAUGGAGGGAAGAAGGAGACUCUAGAAGGGUCGAUCUUCUCGAAGAUCGAACAACUCAGGAUUAACUCACGGAAUGAGACAUAGAACCAUCUCUCGGGUUGAGACACGAGAUACACAUCAAGAGGGGUGGAAAGAAACGGAUGACGAAGGUUCACUAGGUAGACAACAAUUUCACGCUUAAGAAGGUGGUAAUCGAUUAUCAACGUAGCGAGGAGUUGAGUUGCCAUGAAACCACAACGAGGCACCUUAGGGAAGGUGACUCGUAGAAAUAUCCCCUUAAGUGGCAAAAAGAAUUACCUUUGAUUCAGAGAUCAUUGAGACUCUUUAAACCAGCCUAAGGCAAUUCUCGAGCAAUCGUUUGGAGGGGUUCGGUGGAAUGGUAUACUCGGACUUGGCUGAUGUGGAUUACCUUGUUGAAGACAAUGUAAUGGAUGAAUUUGCUUAUCACCAGAAAUGGAAGAGACCCAUGGUAGAAUGGCACAUUGGCGGUGCAAGCUGGGAACAAAAUGCAAAUACUGGGAAUGAUUCUGGUAACUGGGGAAGAACCCAACAAUAGAGAGUGAAUCCACUGUUUGAGAAGUUAUAGCAUAACCGAGGAAGUUGGGAGCAAACCUAGUUAGUGUCGAUGGUAACACCUAACGCUUGUGCGUGCUCUCAAGAACUUGAGCAUUUCCAUAACCAUCAAGGUUUUACCAAUAUCCGUGUCAAGGAUUCUGGCAACACAACUUACUACCAUGAUGAAUACCGGUGGAAGAUGCCGAUGCAAAGGAAGAUAACACCUUCUUAGAUUUCACCCUUGGCGGGGUCAAGGAAAUAAAAUCUGGAUGAUCGACCGAGAGACAUUUAGCACUCCGCUUCUAAUGUUCUCCAUGAUGUGAUAGCAUAAUCCAUUCAUAGAUAUGGUUUGACAUCUAGGACAUCAAGUAAAGGUCGGACUUCGGGAUCUCAAAAAUCAAUAGGGGCAACUAGGGAGUAAAUCCUACGAAAUCCCUAUGGGGAGGUGGCCAACUUCUCCAAUCAAGAUACUACAAUAAUAGGUCUCCUGGCGGGGUGUGUUGGCCACGACAUCCACCUUACCGGUUUCCGAGGGACCAAUAUUAUAGUUCUUGGGAAAUGUUCUAAACCAUCAUAUCUGCCUGAGAUUCAGAUCUGGUUGGUGUCAGGAUAUUCCAGACUCAUCGAGUCUAGGAAGGAAAACGAAAGUUUGCAACACAAAUCGACGAGAUGACGUUGCGAGAUUCUCGGGAAAUGAACUAUGAUAGUAAGCUCCAAAACAUGAGCUGGUUCUGCUACAAACAUGUGAACACGUUGUCCCAGACAAGCAUGACCACGUGGUAGUCUUAUAAUAAAACACUACCGAGUUCAGGUGGGGAACCAUCAACGAGGAUAUCAAAAUCCUUGCAUAAGGUAUACUCUUAAGAAGGAACUUCUUCUCCUUGAACAAAUCAAUCAGUGGCUUGGUGUGCUAGGGAUACAUAUAGAUUGAAGGUUGCAAGUCUUCAAACCACAGAAUUCUUCGCACAUGUGCAUGACUGACUUGCGAUGAUUCCAGAGGAAGCAACAUUGACUUUCUCGAGUUUACGGCGGCACCCUGCAUCAAAUGCACACGAACUAGAGGAAGUCACUUCUUACAUCCGAACAUAUGCUUCAUGAGCUAGCAUGAACGAAUGCUUUCAAAAGUUUCCAACACUAGCUUAAUGUUCAGCAAAAUUAUGGAGAAGACAAGGAUGUUGUCAAUGGGCACAACAACAAUUCAUCUGGGUUUCCUUUUAAAAGGAAUUCCAUAGUUAAGUGAACAAGUGAUAGCAUUGGUCAGACCCAAAAGAUAUAAUGGUGUAUGCUCGAGGGAUCAACCACGAGUAAGACAACAUUACGAAUAUCGUUGGUUCUGGUCUGAUUGGAUGAUAGCCCAUACUCAAUCAAAGGUUUGGGUAAGAUAAUAGAUCCAACAAUUGUUCACGAGGACCAAUUGAUGAAGAUAUCAUCUUUCUUCAACACACACACACACACACACAAAAAGAUAUCCCUUAACAUGAACUAAGUCGGACAAGCUUUUAUCUUCCAACUCUCCAAGUUGUUGUUUAGCUUAUCCAACUAGCUCAGGGUAUCCAACACGGAUUCUUGGAGAAGGGGUGGUUUACAGGAAUAAACCAACUUGAUCACGAACUCAACAUAGCGGUCAGGUGACAACCUGGUAAUACUUCUGAGAAGAUAUUCAAAAAAUCACGAACCACCGGUAUGUUACUAAGCUCGAGAACAAUCUUGCUUUUCAGGGCAAGACGAUAUGAUCAAUAGAGCAAGGAUUUGAAAUAAUCCUAACUCAUCGAUCAAGGAGUGAACCAGGAGAAUGGACUAGGUAGCACGAUCAAUCUUAGAAUGAUGAUUCAAUAACCAACACACUAAGAAUGAAAUUAUUGUCCUUUAACUACCCAGCAACGAGGUUGCUAGGCGUAUUGAUUUCACACAUCACAAUUCAUUUGUCGGUAUUCCGGUUGCAUCAACACGAAGACCGAGGAAUGACUAAUGAUGGCAAGAAGUAUCACUGUACCAAGAGUUCAUAGGAUGGUGUGCAAUUCCUAUAACAAUCCCGAUAUAAAGAUGGUAAUACUCCAAGGUAGAACAGAACAAAAGCUGGAUUAGCAAUUUGAUCUGCGGAGCACAACUUCUUUGACCCAAUCCUAUAUAUGGAAGAGGUACUGGAGUUUGUUUCUCCUAGUCAUUCUGCGAUAGAAUGGCUUGGCGGACCACAAGAGUAAUAGGCAUCGAUAAACGAACGCACGCAUACUCUUGACUAUCAAUUGAUAGACGAGGGUCAGAAUGCAACUAAAGAGAACAACUCAAAGGAACAUAUAAUUUUCUGAGUUGUGGAUGCAUAGAUUAGUAUGUCGAACCAAGUUCAACAUAUUUCUUCCGGAUAACCCAUGCAGAAAGGUAGAACUGGCAGAGUCACGAUUUAUGAAUGGAGAACUCCUCAAGAAUAAUCCUGUUGUGAUAUUUCAGUUCAACGAGGAACUUCUGCCAUAAGUAGUUCAUGGUAUUUGGAAGAAGAAGAUACCACGGACUUCAAGGACUAUCGCAAAGGUUACUAAUAUCCUGAAGGCACUAGCAAUUACUAUCAACAUGAAGUAGGUAGAGUGAAUCUCGGGUUCAAGAACCCUGGAACAGAAUACCUAUUACUAAGUAGCAUCACGGGAUGCUUUCGAGAAUGAUGGCCAGAAUCAUCACACUGGGAACACAAAUCAUGGCUAAAUUACUAGAUGAUCCCCUAAGACACCUAGGGUCAUAAUAAUAUCUCCAACAUAUAUGUCAAGGUAACAGAGUACCUCAACUCACUAAUUAGUGUGGUUAAUCUGGCCCAAAGGAACAUUGAAACGGGAGGAAGGAAUUUGCAAGUGCAUCAGACUGUUUAGAGACCUGAGAUGACUCGGACAGCGUAACGGCUGUAAAUGCUCAAAAAAGGUUUGAGACAUUCACAAAAAUGGUGGCAUAACCACCCAGAAACACAAUAUCAAGGUUUCAAGAUCAACAAUUAACAUACGGAAGUAGUAGGAACUGAACUGAGACUUAAACCCAACAAUCUUAAGUCUACGGAUUAGUAACACGUGAUCCUGAUAGAAAGAAGAGAUAACCUAGUUCUUAAUCCCCGUAGAAGAGAAGAUGAUGACUCAGAUCAGAAGGCCAUGAGGUAUAAGGAGUAAAAAGAGCCUUACGUUCCAUCCCACAAUCAAUUCCCUUAUAUAACUAAGAAUUUCUAGACUCAACUUCGACCAGUUUGGCUUGGUAAUCCUACAGGCAGUCAAGCUCUGAUACCAACGCUGUCAGGACCCCGACUCAAUGCCACAUUGAUCUAGCAUGUAACACCUCAUAUCACUUUACGGCCUCACGCACGGUAUUCCCACGGGUGUCGCCUUACCUUAGCCCGGAACCGUUUGCGCCUUUUGGCACACGUAUAUGACGGUGUCGCUAGCAUCCAUAUGAUAAGGAGCCCGGGCUGACAUGGCUAGUCGUAAACCCAAAGUGGCACAGACUUACAGGGACAGGCAUCCAUGACCCAGCAUCGAACGUGUCGGUCAUCAGCGAGUGAAUCCAGGCUGUAGCACUGGGCUAGCAGGACUCCGGUAUUCAUCGCGUGACAUUUCCCCGAAGGGACAGACACAGGAACGAAGAAGGACACAUGCCGGCCAGCCUAAGUGUUCCGGAGCAGUAGCAAGCUACCAAGGCUCAAUGGAAACACUAGGAGACAUUUCCCGGUAAGAGAGGCUACUAAAGAUAAACAACUAGAUAGUCAGAUCCCACACAUACCAAGCAUUUCAAUAACAUACACACAAUAUGCUCGAUAUGUGCAAUACAACAUGGCAUCACAAAAUGACUCUACGACUCAAGUAUUUAUUCAAUAGGCUCCGAGGAGCGAGAUAUUACAAACAUGGGUCUCAUGACCCAACAAUCAGAGCAUACAAGUCAAAACACAAGCGGAAGCUAUCAUGUCUGAGUACAGACAUCUAUAAAUGAAAAAGGCUGAGAAGCCUGACUAUCUAUCAGAUCCUGCCGAGGGCACAAGAUCGUAGCUGAGGUAUCAAGCUAAACGUCGAAGUCCAUGCGGAACUACUAGCGAGACCGAAGUCUCUCUGCAAAAACAUAAAAUAGGCAAACGUGAGUACAAAUGUACCCAGCAAGACUUACAUCAGAACUAACUACAUAUGCAUCAUUAUCAACAAAGGGGAUGGUGGGGUUUAACUGCAGCAAGCCAGCUUUGACUCGGUGGCUAUCUUGAACUACGACUGCAAUGUAACUCUUUUGAGGUGGCGCACACGAGUCCACAUAUUCACCAUAUCAAUACACCACUAUGGAUCCGCUCCCGUCUCCCUACGAGAACGCCAUCCAUAGCACUCACGCUUAUCUUGCGUAUUUUAGAGUAUCCACUUUCACUUGUCUAUGAACUGAUAUAAGCAACCCAGAAGUCCUUUUCCGCGGACACGGCUAUUCGAAUAGAUGAUGUUAACCCUGCAGGGGUGUACUUCUUCAUACAUGUUUCCACCACUUAGCGUCUGCACACGACAUGUGCUCAGCAGACUUCAAGCGAAAGCCGACAUGGGUGUAGACCACGACCUACCUAAACACUCAAGUCUCUAGUCCAGGUUUAUCGCCUAUUCGGGUUCCAUCCAUGAGGAGAUCCGGCCGGAGUUUCGCUCACAGCCCCAAACGAUGUGAACAGGGUUCCCGAGAUACCAAACGGGCAUCCGGUACACCGUGCCACGUACCUACCGCAUCACAGCCCACCCCUACGGUCAGCGCUGUCCACGGCCUCCAGUAAGCUACAAACACCAGAAACUACUUGCAACUCCUGGACAGAGGACUAGGGUGAAUAAGAAGUCGAGCGGGGUCAUAUUUCAGGGCCCAAUGUAUGGUAGUAGCUGAAUCAUGGAUCACAAACACAGAACUCAGUUCCUGAGGACGGCUGCAAUGAGACAACCCACCAUGUACUCCUACAUGGCCUCUCACCGCUACCUUUACCAAAUCGUGUUCACACACUUAGCUCACACACGGUAGGACAUGUUCACACACCUCUGAUUCAUCCCCGAUGAAUCAGACCUGACUCGACUCUAAGCAGUAGCAGGCAUGACAAACAAGCAUGAAUGAGUAGGCACAACAGGGCUCAAACAACUCCUACUCAUGCUAGUGGGUUUCAUCUAUUUACUGUGGCAAUGACAGGUCAUGCAAAGGAUAAAGGGGUUCAGCUACCGCAGCAAGUAACAGAUGAAUCGGUGUUGUCCUAAUGCAUUAAAAGAGAGCAGGAGCGAGAGAGUAGGAUUGUAUCGGAAUGAACAAGGGGGUUUUGCUUGCCUGGCACUUCUGAAGAUAACAUUGAGUCUUCAUCAGUGUCAACGAUCACAUCAUCGGUAUCACGUCUAUCGAGAGGGGACAAAUACCGGCAACACAGAAGGGAACACAAUCAAUGCAAUGCACAAUAUGAUGCAUGAUCAUGACAUGGCAAUAUGAAUGUGUUUUGAGCUAAUGAAACUAGCAACAGAUUAAAUGAAGUUGGUUUGAAUACAAGAUUCAAAUUCAAACUCCAUAUGUGAUUAUUCAAAUGCCAUUUAAUUGAUUUGUGCUAAACAGCAGCUAUAAGUUGUUCUAACAUGCAUGAAAAUGGUACAGAUGGAUUCCUUGAAUUUUUCUGAUAAUUUUUCAUAUAUAAUUUAUUUAAUUUGGAGCUACGGUUGAAUUUCUAUGAAUUUUAGAAGUUUUAGGCAUUUUCUGGAAUUAUAAAUCAUUUCCUAAUUUAUUUUAAUUCCAGAAAGGAAUUAUUGCGUCAGCAUGACCUCAUGCUGACCUCAGCAGGUCAACGGGCACCGUCCAGGUCAAACUGACCUGUGGGACCCAUAUGUCAGCGUCACAGUUAGUUAACAGGGGGUUAUCUGCUUAAUUAAAGGAUUAGGGGGGGGGGUCGGGGCCCACUGGUCAGUGUUAGUGGCUAAUUAGGUUUAGUUAAUGGCCUGGGGCCCACACGUCAGUGAGAGAGAGGGGAGGGUCAAACCGGGCAGUGGGUCAACCCACGCCGGUCAAGGGUCAACGGUCGCCGGCGUUUAGCCGCCGGCGAGUCCCGACGCGGUGGUGCCCUGCGGAAAUGGCCUACAGAGCGCCGUUUGGCGCGCGGAGCACGACUACGGGAUGCGGACGCUCGUCCGCAUCCAACCAGGGUGGUGGCGCGGCCGGGGAGUGGCCGGAGAGUGGUCGGCAACGAGCUUUAGCGGCGGCCGGGGUUCGGCGUCAGUGAGGACGGCGCUGCGGUGUGCAAACGAGACGGUUGUCGCGCUAGUUUUACUCUACGGGACGUAACGAGUGCAACGGACGCAUGCGUGGGACCAAAAGGUCACCGGGGCUUCACCGGCGACGAGCCCGUGCGGCGGAGCGUCUCGGCUCCGGUGGAGGGAGCGGCUGGAGCUCGAAAUCGGACAUGGGGUUAGGGGGAAACGAAGGCGGGGCUUACAGGGGGUCGAUUGGAGGGCCCAGCGGCUCGGGGGAGACGUCGGAGGUGGCGAGCGGGCGCCGGCGAUCUCGGGCGGCCGGAGAUGGGGAAGACGGCGUGGGCGGCGAUGCAGGGCUCCCGGCGUUGCGUAGCUCCAUGGAGAGGUCGGGGGCGUCGAGGCGGAGCCUUUGGUCACUCUGGUGGGGUGGAACGACGGUGGUGGCUACGACUGCGACGAGCGGCGGCGAUGGUGGUUCUCGGUCGCGCGAGUGAGAGAGCCAGAGAAGAGAGAAGAAGGAACGGGGAGAGUGAGAACGGUCCAGGGGGGUGCGUGGCAUCCUCAGGCGACGGGGAGACAGGCAGAGAGGCAGGAGGUGGCCUGGGCGUGUGCCCGCACGCUCCGGCCACGCGCCUGCGCCUACUGGCGCGAGGAGGAAGGCGACAGGGGGGGAAAGUGGAGAUGGGCUGGGCUGGCCAGGUGGGCCUGGUGGGCUGCAGAGGUAAGUCCAGGUAAGGUUUCUCUCCUCUGUCUUUUAUUUCUAUUUCAGUUCUGUUUUCUUUUAUUUAAUCUGUUUUGCCACUGUUUUGAAUUUAAAAAUAAUUCAGACAAUGCCAAAAACUCCUCUGAAUAUUUUAUAUUGCUAGAUGGACUUUUCCAAAAGCUUAUAAAAUAUUUCAGGGGUAUUUGAAAUUAUAUUCUAAUUAUAUGAAUAUAAUUCAAAUUCAAAUAGCUAAUGAAUUAAAUCCAAAUUCCCAAAAAUAAUUCCUUAAAAAUGUUCAAUAUUUUGGUUGGGUCCAGAACCCUUACCAAAAAUUAUCAAACAUUUAAGAAGAGCAUUUUGGAGCAGAGAAUGAGAUUUCUAGGGUUUUUGCCCCUCUUUUAUUUAAGUUUUUGAGGCUUCCAAAAAUUCCUCAGUUCAAGUUUCGAAAAUAUAGACAUGAUGCACACAUGAAGCUAGCCUAGAGCACUACCAGCAGCUAGGGAUGUGACAAUGCCAUAUUUUUAUUUUAUUAUAUAUAUACUCGCCGUAUCCCCGAAUGGCUGUUUUGGGAAAAUGCCGUAUCCCGUAUCCCCGUAUGCGUAUCCCUGUCUUUCCGUCCCCGUGUCCGUGCUUCUUAGCCUUCUACUAUAAUUAUGUUCCCUACCCUUUCUUACUUAUAGGAAAUUCAAGUGGGUACACAUGUGAGUAUCUUCUCCUUCCCUCUGUUGUAUGCAUGUGGUCAUUUGUUAUCGCUGAUUAAGAAUCAAGAUCCGUUACUUUCUUGAAUAUUGAAGACUGUCUUAGUUGGUCCAGAUUAAACUUGACAAAUACAAUUUCCUUUUGGUUCCAUCUGACAAUUUAGUUGUAUUAUUGAUUUGAGCAGUUUUCAGCAAUCUUAAGCCGUCUUCAGAUUUUAGCUCACUCAAUCAUUCUGAAUUAUUUAACCUCAGUAUGAGGUACAUGUGUUUCAAAGAUUAAUCCUGAGAAAUUUGUAGUUGACCGGUUGGGUCUGUUUGAUUUCUUUAGUAGACUGCAGCGGCAGUCACCAUUGUUCAUGAUCUAUCCUAAAGCUAGAUUAUUUGCACUGCAAUUCUUUGUUACUUCAAUCAAAUAGUUCAGCCGUGUCUUAUUGAUUUGGACGGUUCUUAUUUUAGCCUGCUCGGUCUCUGGAUUAUUUACUGUCAAUUUUGAUGCAUGUCUUUAAUAAAAUAAGAAACUUAUUUUGGUAGCUAAAUUAAACACUAAACGCUACUUGCUCAUGGCGGCUAUGUGUAGAAACACGAUCACGGUGGAGGAGAUCUCGACGGUCGAUGUGAAGCUGGGGCACAAGAAGGGCACGAAUAUCACCUUCCUAGAAGAAUCUGAUUUUUCUGGUACUGUUAUGUGUUUCAAAAAGUUAUUGGGAUGUAAUUUUUAUAUUGACACUAUAAUCUAUGAAGUUAUAUUUUCAGACAUUUCACUUUUUGCAUCAGCCGAGAGGCAAAAUUUAUUUUCAAGUAAUUUCUGAAGUAAAAUUUGUGAAUGAACUGCAUGAUGUUUCAUGUGUCUGAUUUGUACUUGAAAUAAAAUAUUAGAUAGCAAGGUCCAGAGGAAAUGUGAGAAAGUUGUCCAAAAACUGAAGAAACUUUUUUAUUUUUCUU
RNAcentral lists this long non-coding RNA (25032 nucleotides) under Triticum aestivum (bread wheat). RNAcentral describes it as "long non-coding RNA (TAES_LNC001524)". Lineage: Eukaryota; Viridiplantae; Streptophyta; Magnoliopsida; Poales; Poaceae. The record is from RNAcentral.